Molecule: ribosomal RNA, 253 nt
Filed under: Steroidobacter sp.
Lineage: Bacteria; Pseudomonadati; Pseudomonadota; Gammaproteobacteria; Steroidobacterales; Steroidobacteraceae
Also listed under: 1 other name
Description: partial 16S ribosomal RNA
Rfam family: Bacterial small subunit ribosomal RNA
Source: RNAcentral
UACAGAGGGUGCGAGCGUUAAUCGGAAUUACUGGGCGUAAAGCGCGCGUAGGCGGCUUUUCAAGUCGGAUGUGAAAUCCCCGGGCUUAACCUGGGAACUGCAUUCGAGACUGUCUAGCUAGAGUAUGGGAGAGGGAAGUGGAAUUUCAGGUGUAGCGGUGAAAUGCGUAGAUAUCUGAAGGAACAUCAGUGGCGAAAGCGACUUCCUGGACCAAUACUGACGCUCAUGUGCGAAAGCGUGGGGAGCAAACAGG